AUUGAACGCUGGCGGCAGGCCUAACACAUGCAAGUCGAACGGUAGCACAGAGAGCUUGCUCUCGGGUGACGAGUGGCGGACGGGUGAGUAAUGUCUGGGAAACUGCCCGAGGGAGGGGGAUAACUACUGGAAACGGUAGCUAAUACCGCAUAACGUCGCAAGACCAAAGUGGGGGACCUUCAGGCCCCACACCAUCGGAUGUGCCCAGAUGGGAUUAGCUAGUAGGUGGGGUAAUGGCUCACCUAGGCGACGAUCCCUAGCUGGGCUGAGAGGAUGACCAGCCACACGGGAACUGAGACACGGUCCAGACUCCUACGGGAGGCAGCAGUGGGGAAUAUUGCACAAUGGGCGCAAGCCUGAUGCAGCCAUGCCGCGUGUAUGAAGAAGGCCUUCGGGUUGUAAAGUACUUUCAGCGGGGAGGAAGGCGGUGAAGUUAAUAGCUUCACCGAUUGACGUUACCCGCAGAAGAAGCACCGGCUAACUCCGUGCCAGCCGCCGCGGUAA
RNAcentral lists this ribosomal RNA (504 nucleotides) under uncultured bacterium. Its description in RNAcentral is "partial 16S ribosomal RNA". It matches the Rfam family "Bacterial small subunit ribosomal RNA", at positions 29 to 523 of the family's 1533-position model. The record is from RNAcentral.